This is a long non-coding RNA of Rhinopithecus roxellana (golden snub-nosed monkey), 526 nucleotides long. RefSeq lists it as uncharacterized. The transcript has 2 exons. NCBI's taxonomy places the organism in Eukaryota, Metazoa, Chordata, Mammalia, Primates, Cercopithecidae. The record is from RefSeq and is a predicted model, not a curated record.
CCUCAGCCUCCCAAGUAGCUGGGAUUACAGGCGCCUGCCAUUCUUAAAAAGCAUCUGCCAGGCUUUCUGCAGUGAACUUGGGGGCGCUAUCCUCGGUACCCAGGUGCCCACCUGUGUGCCACCCCCCUCCCAAGCCAGCCCCUGAGCCCCUGAGCUCUGUUACCUGCAGCAAACUCCUCGAUGGUCAUGAGUGGGAAGCGGAUGAGGCCCAGGGCCUUGCCCAGAACCUUCCGCCUGUUUUCCGGUGUCACCUGUAGCUGCUGCCGCUGACACUCGGCCUCAGACCAGCGGACAACGGCAUUGAACAGCCGCACCUCACGGAUGCCCAGUGUGUCGCGCUCCAGGACGGCCACCAGCGUGUCUGUGGGGUGGAGGAAGGGGCUGUGUGAACAUGACACCCUGCCCACCCUGCAGGAGGCAGUGAGACUAACGUGAGGACCAACAGUUAAAGCCAGGCUGGCAACUACGGCCCGUGGCCCAAACCUGGCCUUGUGCUUGUGUUUAUAAAUAAAGCUUUAUCAACACA